Molecule: ribosomal RNA, 660 nt
Filed under: uncultured bacterium
Lineage: Bacteria
Description: bacterial SSU rRNA
Rfam family: Bacterial small subunit ribosomal RNA
Source: RNAcentral
GUUACCUUCGGGUAAUGAGGAUGGCGGACGGGUGAGUAACGCGUAAGGAACUUGCCUCUUGGACUGGGACAACUGUUGGAAACGACAGCUAAUACCGGAUAUUAUGAGAUUCUCGCAUGAGAAACUUAUGAAAGCUAUAUGCGCCAAGAGAGAGCCUUGCGUUCCAUUAGCUAGUUGGUGGGGUAAUGGCCCACCAAGGCGACGAUGGAUAGCCGGCCUGAGAGGGUGAACGGCCACAAGGGGACUGAGACACGGCCCUUACUCCUACGGGAGGCAGCAGUGGGGAAUAUUGGACAAUGGGCCACAAGCCUGAUCCAGCAAUUCUGUGUGCACGAUGAAGGUCUUCGGAUUGUAAAGUGCUUUCAGUUGGGAAGAAGAAAGUGACGGUACCAACAGAAGAAGCGACGGCUAAAUACGUGCCAGCAGCCGCGGUAAUACGUAUGUCGCAAGCGUUAUCCGGAUUUAUUGGGCGUAAAGCGCGUCUAGGCGGAAAAAUAAGUCUGAUGUUAAAAUGCGGGGCUCAACUCCGUAUUGCGUUGGAAACUGUUUUUCUAGAGUACUGGAGAGGUGGGCGGAACUACAAGUGUAGAGGUGAAAUUCGUAGAUAUUUGUAGGAAUGCCGAUGGAGAAGUCAGCUCACUGGACAGAUACUGACGCUGA